GUCGUCGCGAGGCGGGGUCUGAAGGAAGCGUGUAGCAAAGGCCACGACCUGACGAACAGAAACCGCCUGCAUCCAUGGCCAGAACAACGUUUCCUCGUCAAACACCGACGGUAGGAGCCGGAUGCCCUAAUU
Candidatus Burkholderia humilis is the source of this 132-nucleotide non-coding RNA. The record is from Rfam. NCBI's taxonomy places the organism in Bacteria, Pseudomonadati, Pseudomonadota, Betaproteobacteria, Burkholderiales, Burkholderiaceae.